UCCAGCCCAAAUAUUCUAUAUGUUUUAUGUUGAAAGUGGCCAGAUCCAGCAUCUUACACCUACCCAACAUUUGUCAUUCUAAAAAUAAACAGUCGUCCCACUUCAUUGAAAUCUC
This is a long non-coding RNA of Octopus sinensis (East Asian common octopus), 115 nucleotides long. RefSeq lists it as uncharacterized. Lineage: Eukaryota; Metazoa; Mollusca; Cephalopoda; Octopoda; Octopodidae. The transcript has 3 exons. The record is from RefSeq and is a predicted model, not a curated record.